RNAcentral lists this long non-coding RNA (231 nucleotides) under Elaeis guineensis (African oil palm). Its description in RNAcentral is "long non-coding RNA (EGUI_LNC074524)". Lineage: Eukaryota; Viridiplantae; Streptophyta; Magnoliopsida; Arecales; Arecaceae. The record is from RNAcentral.
UGUUUUGUUAGCGAUGGUACUCUUGUAUUCUCGCAUCUCCCUAUCCAAUAAAUUAUCAAUUGAUAUACAUAUAUAAUAAUGAAUGCAAUAAUGAAUAAUAAAUAUUACAAUAUCAUGUAAUUAUCUUUUAAUUAGAUACAUUCAUUUUGUAUGUACUGGCCCAUCCAGUGUAGCCUCAUGUGGAAGAUGAACUGAAAGAUGCACUAUGAUAUCAAAGAAAGCGGGAGGGAA